Molecule: ribosomal RNA, 373 nt
Filed under: uncultured organism
Description: partial 16S ribosomal RNA
Rfam family: Bacterial small subunit ribosomal RNA
Source: RNAcentral
GGAGGGUGCAAGCGUUAAUCGGAAUUACUGGGCGUAAAGCGCACGCAGGCGGUUUGUUAAGUCAGAUGUGAAAUCCCCGGGCUCAACCUGGGAACUGCAUCUGAUACUGGCAAGCUUGAGUCUCGUAGAGGGGGGUAGAAUUCCAGGUGUAGCGGUGAAAUGCGUAGAGAUCUGGAGGAAUACCGGUGGCGAAGGCGGCCCCCGUGGACGAAGACUGACGCUCAGGUGCGAAAGCGUGGGGAGCAAACAGGGAUUAGAUACCCUGGUAGUCCACGCCGUAAACGAUGUCGACUUGGAGGUUGUGCCCCUUGAGGCGUGGCUACCGGAGCUAACGCGUUAAGUCGACCGCCUGGGGAGUACGGCCGCAAGGUUA